RNAcentral lists this long non-coding RNA (388 nucleotides) under Homo sapiens (human). RNAcentral's name for it is "HSALNT0104592". The record is from RNAcentral. Lineage: Eukaryota; Metazoa; Chordata; Mammalia; Primates; Hominidae.
GCUUCCUCUUUGAGCCUCAUCUCCUCAUGAAACAUGAACUGAUUUGGUUGGAUUGGUGAAGUCUGGUAGCAUGAAAUGUAUCUUAUGACACUAUCACAUUAAUGGAAGGACAGCAAGCACUCCAGUUGCAGGGCUUCCUUCCUUGCCGCAUCCUGUAGCAACUGUGUGUCGACCUCAUCUGCUGGCAGCUGCACGUAUCGGACCACUGAGCCCCGAAUGAAGCAGUUCUUCACUGAUAACUAGACAAAGAUGGACAAAUAUGAAAACACCCUUAAAAAUGUCCUCUAACCACCCAGGGGCCUCCUGCUUUAGAGGCCUCCUCAAUGAACCUGAGAAACAGUACAGUACUAAAGAUGAAGAUAAAAACUCCGGACCUAACUCCAGCCUA